CUUUUUAUGAGAGUUUGAUCCUGGCUCAGGAUGAACGCUGGCGGCGUGCUUAACACAUGCAAGUCGAACGAAGCAUUUAAGACAGAUUACUUCGGUUUGAAGUCUUU
RNAcentral lists this ribosomal RNA (107 nucleotides) under [Lactobacillus] rogosae. RNAcentral describes it as "Lactobacillus rogosae 16S rRNA. Bacterial SSU". It matches the Rfam family "Bacterial small subunit ribosomal RNA", at positions 1 to 93 of the family's 1533-position model. Lineage: Bacteria; Bacillati; Bacillota; Clostridia; Lachnospirales; Lachnospiraceae. The record is from RNAcentral.